This 251-nucleotide ribosomal RNA is filed under the name uncultured Rhodocyclaceae bacterium. RNAcentral describes it as "partial 16S ribosomal RNA". It matches the Rfam family "Bacterial small subunit ribosomal RNA", at positions 524 to 774 of the family's 1533-position model. Lineage: Bacteria; Pseudomonadati; Pseudomonadota; Betaproteobacteria; Rhodocyclales; Rhodocyclaceae. The record is from RNAcentral.
UACGUAGGGUGCGAGCGUUAAUCGGAGUUACUGGGCGUAAAGCGUGCGCAGGCGGUAAUGUAAGACAGAGGUGAAAUCCCUGGGCUCAACCUGGGAACUGCCUUUGUGACUGCAUUGCUGGAGUGCGGCAGAGGGGGAUGGAAUUCCGCGUGUAGCAGUGAAAUGCGUAGAUAUGCGGAGGAACACCGAUGGCGAAGGCAAUCCCCUGGGCCUGCACUGACGCUCAUGCACGAAAGCGUGGGGAGCAAACA